AAGACAUAGUGGGUAUAAUGUAUUCAUGUCAUUAUUAUAUGCUUUUAUGAAUAUAUCCAAUUAUUAUGACUCCAUUGAAGAUUUUGUUAAACAUAUAAUUAAACAUGAAAUAUAUACUCUGUUUAAUAAUACUAUUGAUUAUGCUACUAAAAUGAAAGUCACCGAACUUUUGAAUAACAUGACUACUUUGAUAUGUAUACAGAAUUUGAAGGUGCAUGUAUUUAUCGAUCGAUGUUUAGAGCAAUGUUUUUUGGAAAUAGAAAAAGAUAAAGACAUUAUUAAAACAGCCAUAGACAACUUGGUUAAACAGAAGGAAGCUGGCUCUUACGAACAUACGUAUCUGAAGCAGUUGAAACGGUACAACAAUCGUUAUGAUUGUGCUGAGCAUACCGAACAAAACAUGAAAAGGGAAGAAGGUCUGCAUGUACAGGCAGGUACCGAAACAAAGUACGAACCAGAUCAUAAUGAAACUUUUCCUCAAGCUACAGAUGCAACUAAUAAUAUGAAUGUAUCUUACAACAUGGAAAAUGACCACACGUCAAAUAGUUAUGAAAAAGAAAGUGUGGAUAAAGAACAAAACUUAGUGCAAAAAAGUAACCAAACAAAAGUUGACAUUAAAUAUAGUGAGGUAAAUGUACAGGAUAAUACGGAAACAGUAGAAAACGAAUUUACAAUGAUAAAUGAUACAAUAACAAGUGAAAAUAACACAGAGAAAGCUGAAAAUGACGAUAUUAUAGAAUCUGAACAUAUUAGUAAUUUAAAAAAACUGGAAUCUCUGAAUAGCCCAAAUUUACUUUAUAAAGAUAAAAUUUAUAUAACAAACGAUAAAGAGAAAGAAGAAUUUUAUAUUUUAAAAAAGAUAAAAGAGUAUGUUUAUAUUUAUAUCGAACAGUUUAUAAAUGAAUUAAUACAAAUACCACAUAAAGAAUUAAAUAAUAGUAUAAGGUUUUUAUUCUAUACAAUUCAGGAUGAACUUGAUGGAUUAAAAAAAAAUCAAAUAAUUAAAGAUCAUAAAAUAAACAUACAUACUUUAACCCUUUGUUUAGACUUAUUUAUUAAUUCAGUUUUAUAUCCAUAUAUUUUUUAUGUGCAUGAACAACAUGCAAAUGUAGCCAUAAAAAACAAAAAUUCUGUACUAUACCAAAAAGUAGUGUUAAUGUUUGCACAGACAUUAAAAGAAGUCUCUAUAUAUGUUUUCCAAAUAUAUAAUGUAGGAACCUACGAAGAGAAUUUUAAAGCUUUCAUAAAUAAUAUAAAAAAAAAUGAGUUACUUGCAGGGAAAGUAACUAAUGAAAAUAUGUUUUUCUUGGACGUUUGUGAGAAGCUGUAUAAAUGGAUCAUCAAAAAUUUAGAAGUGCCCAGGUACUACUCACCAAUCAAAUGGUCAUGCAACGAAAACAUAGGAAAGAGUUUCGAAAUGGUAGUAAAAGAAAUCGUAAAUAUAAACAAAUUAGCAACGCAAAAAUGUGUUAAUGAAAAUAUCGAUUUUAAUAUAUUCUUUAGUAUCAAAAACAUUAAAGAGAUAUUGGAUUUAUGUUAUUCAAUAAUAAAUGACAUACAGUGAUAAAAUGAUAUGCAUUCACUAGUAGACGUCAAACAAAACAGUCUGUUCCUAUUAGUGAAUAACAUUUAAUAAGCGCACAUUUAAGUUAUCAUUUUUUUUUU
This 1665-nucleotide long non-coding RNA is filed under the name Piliocolobus tephrosceles (Ugandan red Colobus). Its description in RNAcentral is "lncRNA (ENSPTEG00000001628.1)". Lineage: Eukaryota; Metazoa; Chordata; Mammalia; Primates; Cercopithecidae. The record is from RNAcentral.